Molecule: long non-coding RNA, 439 nt
Organism: Ficedula albicollis (Collared flycatcher)
Lineage: Eukaryota; Metazoa; Chordata; Aves; Passeriformes; Muscicapidae
Exons: 2
Source: RefSeq, a predicted model, not a curated record
AAUGGGUCAGCGGUCUUCUAAUGAUGAAGUCAGGGAGUUUUCCUCACCUUGAACUUUUCAUCUUUGUCUAAUUGCUAGGUUCUCAUGCUCUUUGGCCAUGGAUCAAGUUCCCAACCUGGUUCUGGCUGGCUUCAGAGCCCAGCCUGGAGUGGAGGAGGCUCAGAUUUGCACAAGGCUACUCUGAGUGCUAGGGGAUGGAUGAGAGAAAUGGUGGGGUGAAGGUAGGGAGGGAGUCUGAUUGAUUGUAAGCCAUAAAGGGCCUUGAUUUUCAUAUAUGUUCGGACUGCAUGAGGAGGUUUCUGGGGAUCAAUGUCAGCUGGAGAUUGCUGAUACCAAUUUAUAAACGGGGAAAGAAUAUAUGGGGAAAAAAGACCUUCUCUCUUUUUGUUUUGGAAUGAAAUACGUUUUGAAUGGGGUGAAAGCUUAGACAAGAGCUACC